GAUUUUUCUUGUAUGAGUUGCCUUAUUGUUUUCAAUGGCUUGAUCCCUUGAGCCAUAUUUGGUAUUAUAUUCAAAUAUGGUGCCUCAUGCUGGGAUAGGAAGCUAAUCCUAGCCCUUCCUCAUCACUGGGAAAGUGGUCAAGGAAAAGCAAAUGGUGUCAAAUUCCUCUUUACCCAUAGUCGUGGCAUGAAUUGUGUUUCUCCUUAAUUCAUAUUUUGAGAUCUCAAUGCUCAGAACGUCAGAAUGUCACUGUAUUUGGAAAUAGGGCCUUUACAGAGGUGACUAAGUUAAAAUGUGAUGGUAUAGGGGGAAGACCAUGGGAAGAUACAGGGAAAAGAUAUAAGAAAAAGCCAAGGAGGGUAGCUUCAGAAGAAACAAAACCUGCCAGUGCCUUGGUCUCAGACUCCCAGCCUCCAGAACUGCAGGAGACAUAUGUUUUUGUUGUUUAAGCCGCCCAGUCUGGUACUUUGUCAUGGCAGCCCCGGCUGAGUGGUGUACCCUAUUUUCUCACGGUGUUCUUAUGUUCUAGUUGGUGUCCAGUGGUCUUGGCGCUAUCUGCAUAGCUUCUGGUGGCAGUGCCGAUGCUUUAUGACCCAGUUUGGUGCACGGAUAUCCAGCGGCACUGAGCUAGUGAGACCUCACGAAUCUCAGUGACCAUGGACCAGUUUGCCGUGUCUGAUGUAGA
Molecule: long non-coding RNA, 685 nt
Filed under: Homo sapiens (human)
Lineage: Eukaryota; Metazoa; Chordata; Mammalia; Primates; Hominidae
Description: HSALNT0162015
Source: RNAcentral